Long non-coding RNA from Neofelis nebulosa (Clouded leopard), 1130 nucleotides. RefSeq lists it as uncharacterized. Lineage: Eukaryota; Metazoa; Chordata; Mammalia; Carnivora; Felidae. The transcript is spliced from 3 exons. The record is from RefSeq and is a predicted model, not a curated record.
AACACGCCAGCCGCACCCUGGGUCCGCGGUGUGACGCGACCUCGGUGACAAGGGUCGUCAGGAGCGUCACCAAGGGCCGCGCCAAAAGCCUCCACGCGACCCAGCGCGCGGGCAGGCAGGCGUGCCCGAAGGCACGGAAAUCAUGCAUCGGGCCUCAGAUAUGCAGCACCAAAGGGACUCCGCAGCCAACGACUCAGACCAUCUGGGUGGUUCUGAUACAGCCGGAUGGUUGCCAUGAUUUGAGAGAGUUGAGAACCUUGAGAGGAAAAAGCCACUGCUCCCAAGCUCUUCCGCCAGGGUGACCGGACUCCGCCGACGAGCCUCACGCGUCCGGGACAGCCUCGUCUCCUUCCUCAGCUGGCCCGAGUCUUCUCUCCACACCAGCUGGGGUUGUUUCCUGUGGCUGCCGUCACAGGUCAUGGGCACAGGUUCCAGGGGUCACGACACAGGCACGUCUUUUAGGGGGCUACUCUUCGGUCCACAAUACCAACCACCAGCCAGAGGGAGCUUCCCGAAACGUAAGCCAGAACGGACUCUGCCCUGCCUACCACCUCCCAGGGCCCCUUCAGCUAACGGCUCUCGGCUCCCACCGCUUUGCCGUCCGUGCCAACAGCCUGGCGCGGCUCCCCGGAGGUGGUAGUCUGCCACCUGAGGGUCUUCAAAAUGUUCGGCCAAGGGGAGGGACUCGCGCCGCCUACCCUGUCCCCAGCUCUUGCUGUCUGCGGCAAGGCGCGGGCCCCCUGGGCAGAGUACCUGUGUGCGCUGUGCGUUUGUGUGCGGGUGCGCGUGCGGGUGGAGGGACUCAGGGCCCCAAGCCCCCUGUGCAGCUAACCCCCGUCAUGCCUGGAGCACCGUGUCACUGCUGACUGUCCCCUACCCGAGGCCGAAACCCAGACCACGCAGAAUGGCAGCCGAAAGCGGCAUACCAUGCACGCCACCCCCCACACUCACCCACAAACGUGCACACGCAUCAGGCACGCCCCCCUCCCCGCGCACACAGAGGGCUGCACCGUGCAUACACGUUACACACCCAAAUCCUAUCACUCUGUCCUCUGGCCCCCGGCCGGAGGCCUGCCGGUGACCUCCUCAUCCCCCGUGUUUGUCAGUUAAACAGCACGGCUUGAACUCCU